This is a transfer RNA of Ovis aries (sheep), 72 nucleotides long. It matches the Rfam family "tRNA". Rfam says of the family: Transfer RNA (tRNA) molecules are approximately 80 nucleotides in length. The record is from Rfam. NCBI's taxonomy places the organism in Eukaryota, Metazoa, Chordata, Mammalia, Artiodactyla, Bovidae.
UCUCUGCUGGCUCAGAUGGUAAAGAAUCUGCCUUCAAUGCAGGAGACCCAGGUUCGAUCCUUGAGUUGGGAA